Molecule: ribosomal RNA, 254 nt
Filed under: uncultured bacterium
Lineage: Bacteria
Description: partial 16S ribosomal RNA
Rfam family: Bacterial small subunit ribosomal RNA
Source: RNAcentral
UACGUAGGGACCAAGCGUUGUUCGGAUUUACUGGGCGUAAAGGGCGCGUAGGCGGCAAAUUAAGUCAUCUGUGAAAUCUCCGAGCUUAACUCGGAACGGUCAGGUGAUACUGAUCUGCUAGAGUGCGGAAGGGGCAAUCGGAAUUCUUGGUGUAGCGGUGAAAUGCGUAGAUAUCAAGAGGAACACCUGAGGUGAAGACGGGUUGCUGGGCCGACACUAACGCUGACAGCGCGAAAGCCAGGGGAGCAAACGGG